Molecule: long non-coding RNA, 1083 nt
Filed under: Phasianus colchicus (ring-necked pheasant)
Lineage: Eukaryota; Metazoa; Chordata; Aves; Galliformes; Phasianidae
Description: lncRNA (ENSPCLG00000015090.1)
Source: RNAcentral
GGUCGUUACACACAGCUCUGAGCUUUGCAGCUCCGACACAAACGAGUGGCUGCUCGGUGGGACCCACAUGAGCACAUCUUCCUCCCCCUUCUCCUCUUCCUCCUCCGGUGCUUCCUUUGGAGGGCGCAAUGGCAGAGAUGCAGACGGAGCACCAGGAAAUGCCCACAGCCAUCAGAUGGCACCGAAAUCCCAGGGGGCCAUCGGGGGGGACGGGCACCCAUCGCCCUCAGCUCCCCAGGGCACAGAAACAUCCCCGCGCCCCAAAAUCGCCACCAGUGGGACAACGCCACUGGUGCUCUUUGUAGUGAGGGCAGCUCGUUAGCACCCGGCGUUAAUUGGAGCUGGAGCAGACGGGGACACCCCUCCACGCUUCGGGGAGUGACCGCGGUGAGCAGCACCCCGCAGCGCUGCCUGAUGCUGUUGCCAUUGGCUUUCCCCCAAAACGGCGCCAGGUCCAACUGUGCUGCAGCUCCGACCCCAAAUCGCUGCUGGAGCUUCCACCCCAAAAUCAUUGCUGGCACUCCCACCCCAAGCAUCUGUCACAGCUCCCACCCCAAACAUCUGUCACAGCUCCCACCCCAAAUCAUUGCUGGAGCUCCGACCCCAAAUCACUGCUGGAGCUCCAACCCCAAAUCACUGCUGGAGCUCCGACCCCAAAUCGCUGCUGCAGCUCCGACCCCAAAUCACUGCUGCAGCUCCGACCCCAGAAUCACUGCUGCAGCUCCGACCCCAAAUAUCUGUCACAGCUCCCACCCCAAAUCUCUGUCACAGCUCCCACCCCAAAUCACUCCUGCAGCUCCGAUCCCAAAUCACUCCUGCNNNNNNNNNNNNNNNNNNNNNNCUGCAGCUCCCACCCCAAAUAUCUGUCACAGCUCCCACCCCAAAUCACUGCCACAGCUCUGACCCCAAAUCACUGCUGGAGCUCCCACCCCAAAUCUCUGCCACAGCUCCCACCCCAAAUAUCUGUCGCAGCUCCCACCCCAAAUCACUGCCACAGCUCCCACCCCAAAUCACUGCUGGAGCUCCGACCCCAAAUAUCUGCCACAGCUCCGAUCCCAAAUCACUCCUGCAGCUCCCACCCCA